CAGCAGCCACGGGAAUACGUAGGUGGCGAGCGUUGUCCGGAAUUAUUGGGCGUAAAGGGAGCGCAGGCGGACAUAUAAGUCCAUCUUAAAAGUGCGGGGCUCAACCCCGUGAGGGGAUGGAAACUGUAUGCCCUGAGUGCAGGAGAGGAAAGCGGAAUUCCCAGUGUAGCGGUGAAAUGCGUAGAUAUUGGGAGGAACACCAGUGGCGAAGGCGGCUUUCUGGACUGUAACUGACGCUGAGGCUCGAAAGCCAGGGGAGCGAACGGGAUUAGAGACCCGCGUAGUCCCUGUCUCUUAUACA
RNAcentral lists this ribosomal RNA (301 nucleotides) under uncultured bacterium. Its description in RNAcentral is "partial 16S ribosomal RNA". It matches the Rfam family "Bacterial small subunit ribosomal RNA", at positions 509 to 809 of the family's 1533-position model. The record is from RNAcentral.